CCCUGCACCCGCCCCGGGGCGGGGCUCCCGCUGGCUCCCGGCUGUCCUUUCCACCGCGGCUUGGGCCGAGGCUGCUGUGUCCUGCAGAGCUCCCGAGCACGUGCAGUGCCCAGCUGCCGAUUUCAGGAGAUGCCUGCCCUGGAUGACUUGGAAGUAGGGUGGUCUUCACCCCCCUGAAGGAAGUAGUAACCCACAACAGUCCAAGUGUGGUUAUCAGAUCCGAAUGAGGAAUCUGCCUCCAUCGGGACUUCAGGUUUCUGACACCACCAUGUUCUGAGUAAUGUGUGCGAGCACUGCUCCUUAUCUUGUGUUGGGGAUUAAACCCAGGAUUAACCUACCAGCUGUGCUGCAUCCCCAGCCCAAGACCUGUCAAAAAUGAUUCCCUCGGACACAAAAAAAUAAUUAGCUGGGCAGCAGUGGAGCGUGCCUUUACUCCCAGCACUAAGAAGGCAGAGGCCGUCUGCUCUCAAACUUGCCUCAAUUGGGACUGCAGGCAUUAGCCACCCUAAUUAAUGUUUUAAUGCAUUUAGUUCUACAUAGAUAUGUAGCUAGAGUUUUCCUGCCUGGCCCACAGUCACGACAAAUCUCUCUCACCUGCCAGUCCCACAGCAGCUCAGACCCAACCAAAUAAACAGAGACUUAUAUUGCUUACAAAUUAUAUGGCCGUACCAGGCUUCUUGCUAACUGUUCUUAUAUCUUAAUCCAUUUCUAUAAAUCUAUACCUUGCCACGUGACUCAUGGCUUACCGGCAUCUUCACAUGCUGUUCAUCAUGGUGGCGGCUGGCAGUGUCUCUGACUCAGCCUUCCAUUUCUCAGAAUUCUUCUCCUCCUUGUCCCGCCUAUACUUCCUCCUGCCUGACUACUGGCCAGUGUUUUAUUUACUAACCAAUCAGAGCAACACAUUUGCCAUACAGAACAUCCCACAGCAUAGAUACAUGCCUUUUCCUGGUAAGAAGUUCCUUAUUGCCGGAUCAGAUCCUGGGCUGCCUCCCCCCACUUUUUUUUUUUUUUUUAGCUUGGCAUUGAAAAUCACCUAUCUGUACCAGGCUUUCAGGCCUUCAUUCUUUUUGGUUUUUCGAGACAGGGUUUCUCUGUGUAGCUUUGGCGCCUUUCCUGGAACUCACUCUGUAGCCCAGGCUGGCUUGAACUCAGAGAUCGCCUGCCUCUGCCCCCCUAGUGCUGGGAUCAAAGGCAUUCGCCAGCAGGCCUUCAUUCUUACCAUCCCUAGUGCAGGCCACAACACCAAAGCCUUAAGUAGAGAGUUCUUGAAUUCUAAGCUCCAUGCCUGGCCCUCCUUAAGGCCAGAUUUCUUAGUCGCCGCAUCAGAGGACAGUCCUCCAGGGUGUAGUCUUUCCAGUCUUUCCAUCCCCAAACUUCUAAAAUGUGCUUUGUGAAUACAGUCUCACAAAUCUGUCUCUUAACUAGUCUGCCUUCCAUUUCACUGCAGAGCUUCAAUAAAUACUCAAUUAAAAGAACUUUUGAUUUCUAUACAUGUGGGGGACCCACCCCCAUGUUCUCCCCCCAGGAUACUCUUUGAGGAGUGAGGGAUAAGAGAUUUAGAUAGAAAUACAGAGUGGGGAGAGACAGAAACAGGAUAAACUUGGGAGGGCCUGGAUCUUAGUCCACUGGCCCCUUCUGUCUCUGCAAAAGGGCUAUUUAUAGGAAUGCCAAAGGGUGGAGCAAAAGACCCCUCCCUAGCACAGCCAAGUGCAGACCCUUCCAAACACCUGGUGACCAUGCAUGUGAUCAAUCCAUCCCCUUAUGCAGCCCUGUUGGGUAAAGCAAGCUCAGAUCUCAUUAGGAAACCUCUGUGGGCCCCCACAUACACAAUUAUGAGAUGCCAUUAGAGUGUGUAAACAUUUGGUUAAGUGUAUUGAGAUUUGAUAGGAAGAUCUUAAUAUUUCAAUGACCAUUGGGUUUUGCUAUCACUGUGAUCUGGGUUAAAGCUUUCCUUAUCCCUUGUCCUGUGAUACACAGACAGGAAUGACUCCCUCUUGAUGUCUUAAGAGACAUUUCUGUGAGUAACUUAUAUUGUAGGUUUUCCUCUUUGCAGCCUCUCCUUACUAAGAUAUCUCUUGACAGUUAUAUUUAAUAGCUGGGGCUUCUGUCACAGUAAAGUAAGCUUACCUCAGCUCUGAUUUCUCUUGCUACACAUUCUUCAUUGAAUGGGUCCUGUUUCCCUUCCAUACAUUCAGAAUCUCUUAUGCCCAUGUCACUAAACCUUAUUUUUAGUCUUGUUCUUGUUAAUCAUUGUGAUUCACUUAUUUUCCAAGUAUUCCUUCAACUUUUGUUCACUAUUUUUUGUAGAAUGCCAUGCUGUGAAGCAUCUGCGGUGGAUUCCGACUUCAAAGAUAACUUUUAAGUUGUCUUUACAUUUCGUCAUUUCUCUUUCCCUUUGCUGUUUUCUUCACAGUGGGAGCAGAAAUGUUUUUUCCAGGGUGUGAAUAUAGUUCUGCAUAUAUUUUGUGGUGUUUUUUUCUGUUAAUAACCAGGAUUUGUAUCCUCUACUUCAUCUCAGGCUUUACUUGACUCCAUCAUUGCAUUUGUACCCCGGGGAGAAUGGCUCUUUACCACCUCCUCAGGCUUCUGCAAUGUUACCUACAGAAGCACAUUUUUACCCCUGGUUUUCCUUCUACCUGGGAUGACUUCAUUUUCUUUACUUGCCUAACAGUUUAACACCAGAUACUAGCUUUCUCAUUCCUCAGAUUAUUUAUGCAAACUUUGGUUUCAAUUAUCUGCACAUAUUGCAAGUUUCACGAGGACAAAGACUGCCAUUGUCACCGUUGACCUUUUCUCUGAGGCCUAACUGAUAGGAGAAGCACCAGUGGUGAAGCACUAAAUUGAGGUAAAGUGCUAAUUGUGACCCUGAGAGGUGGCUUUUGUCACCUGUCAAAGUGAACUGGUUAUGUGUAAACAGCGUUACCACCUCAUAGAAAGCAUCCUGUAAUUAAUCUUUGUAUGAAGAGUCUCUGCCUUCCAAAUUCUGAGUUCUCCGAGGGUGGUUGCAGCUCUCUUUUAUCUCAGAGCGCACGUUUUUGCAGUUAAGAGUGCAGAACUCAAGUCGGCAGUGGUGGCGCACGCCUUUAACCCCAGCACUCUGGAGGCAGAGGCAGGAGGAUCUCUGUGAGUGGAGGCUAGCCUGGGCUACGGAGUGAGUUCCAGGAAAGGCGCAAAGCUAUCCAGAGAAAUCCUGUCUCGAAAAACAAACAAACAAAAAAAAGAGUGGAGAACUCAGGCGGUGGUGGCACACGCCUUUAAUCCCAGCACCCGUAAGACAGACAGGCGAUCUCUUAGUUCGAGGCCAGCCUGGUCUACAAAGCAAGUUGCGGUACAGGCUCCAAAGCUACACCGAGAAACCCUAUCUGGGACCCCCACUCCGGAUUAAAAAAAAAAAAAAUAGAGUGGAGAACUCUCAGCGAAUACUCUACGAAUAACUCUUUCAGAGGACGGGUCUAUUGCCAGCAGUCACGUCUAGUAGCUUACAGCGGCCUGGUACUCCAGUUCCAGGGAGUACUCACACUGUUUUGGCCUCUGCUCUUAGAGACCUCUUCA
This is a long non-coding RNA of Peromyscus californicus insignis, 3552 nucleotides long. RefSeq lists it as uncharacterized. NCBI's taxonomy places the organism in Eukaryota, Metazoa, Chordata, Mammalia, Rodentia, Cricetidae. The record is from RefSeq and is a predicted model, not a curated record. The transcript has 5 exons.